CCCUUAGAUGUUCUGGGCCGCACGCGCGCUACACUGAUUCAUGCAACAAGUUUUGUCCUUGGCUGAUAGGCCUGGGUAAUCUUUGAACGUGAAUCGUGAUGGGGAUAGAUGAUUGCAAUUAUUCAUCUUCAACGAGGAAUUCCUAGUAAACGCAAGUCAUCAGCUUGCAUUGAUUACGUCCCUGCCCUUUGUACACACCGCCCGUCGCACCUACCGAUUGAAUGGUCCGGUGAAAUCUUCGGAUCUGAGAGAUGUCUGAUUAAUUUCGGACGCCUUUUGGAAAAGUUGUUUAAACCUUNCNAUUUAANGGAAGGUGAANUCGUANCA
This 327-nucleotide ribosomal RNA is filed under the name uncultured eukaryote. Its description in RNAcentral is "partial 18S ribosomal RNA". It matches the Rfam family "Eukaryotic small subunit ribosomal RNA", at positions 1470 to 1796 of the family's 1831-position model. The record is from RNAcentral.